UGUGAAAGAUCUCUAUCAAGCCUCACAGAGAAUUUGAGGCAGCUGGCAGUUAUCAGCUGAAGCAGGUAGUCAGUAGAAGUGCAAAAGAUAAAUAGAUAAUUGAAAACCAAUCUGGAAACCUGGGAGAGAUAAUAAGCCUCUCUUCUAGAAGGGAGCCAACAACUCAGAAAAUAUUUUCCUCCCGAAGUUCCUCACUUCAAAUGGAUGCAUUUUAGAGCUUCUCUUAUCUGAUGUCAUGAUCUUUUUCUACUGAAAUGGGAUUGCUUCAUCUCUACAACAUAACAAUGGCCAUGAACAAAGACUGGUUCAUAGGUGUUCUUUUCUGCUUCCAAGGAAAAGGAUGGGCAAAGGAGGAGCAUAAUUUGCAUUGCCUUUCUUCAGAAGGGAGUUUACAGCUCUAGUCUUGAGUUAAACAGCCAUUUAUGCUGAAGAACAUGUAGCCCAGAGCUCUGCCUGUCAUCUUU
Molecule: long non-coding RNA, 464 nt
Filed under: Manacus vitellinus (golden-collared manakin)
Lineage: Eukaryota; Metazoa; Chordata; Aves; Passeriformes; Pipridae
Description: lncRNA (ENSMVIG00005005359.1)
Source: RNAcentral